GACGAACCGUACGAACGUUAUUCGGAAUCACUGGGCUUAAAGGGUGCGUAGGCGGCGCGGAAAGUUGGGUGUGAAAUCCCUCGGCUCAACCGAGGAACUGCGCCCAAAACUACCGUGCUUGAGGGAGAUAGAGGUGAGCGGAACUUAGGGUGGAGCGGUGAAAUGCGUUGAUAUCCUAAGGAACACCGGUGGCGAAAGCGGCUCACUGGAUCUCUUCUGACGCUGAGGCACGAAAGCUAGGGUAGCGAACGGG
This 253-nucleotide ribosomal RNA is filed under the name uncultured bacterium. RNAcentral's name for it is "partial 16S ribosomal RNA". It matches the Rfam family "Bacterial small subunit ribosomal RNA", at positions 524 to 776 of the family's 1533-position model. The record is from RNAcentral.